Molecule: ribosomal RNA, 253 nt
Filed under: uncultured bacterium
Lineage: Bacteria
Description: partial 16S ribosomal RNA
Rfam family: Bacterial small subunit ribosomal RNA
Source: RNAcentral
GACGAAGGGGGCUAGCGUUGUUCGGAAUUACUGGGCGUAAAGCGCGUGUAGGCGGUUGGCAAAGUCGGGUGUGAAAGCCUUGAGCUCAACUCAAGAAUUGCACUCGAUACUUGGUGACUAGAGGACCGGAGAGGAUAGUGGAAUUCCCAGUGUAGUGGUGAAAUACGUAGAGAUUGGGAAGAACACCAGUGGCGAAGGCGGCUAUCUGGACGGUUUCUGACGCUAAGACGCGAAAGCGUGGGGAGCAAACAGG